ACACAUCAAAACAGGAAUCUAGAGUGAAAUCUGCUUAUUCACCAGCAGUGGCUCACAGAACAGAAACACACUUCACCCUGACAUCUUUUUCAGUCAUUUCAUGUUGGAAAUGGAAAAAAAUAAGCUGUUUUUCAUCAUCGGCCUAAUACUGACUGCACAAAGUACUGUGUGUGAGUACCGCAAACUGUGUAUUAACAGACUUUUAAAAUGGAAGAAGUAAACUGACAUAGUCCUCGUCGUCCUCCUCAGCGACCUCUAUGGAGCUGUCCACGUCUUCAGCGGUCUCUCCGGCAGGCGGGAUCUCUUCCUCCCGAGCAGCUCUCCGUUCGUCCUGGAGCUUUCUCUCUUCAGCUCCCUGUUAAGAGUGUGUGAGAACCGGAAAACCCCUUUCACAACAUCCUGUGGCCUCUUUCUUAAGACAGUAUAUACACGUUCUGAUUUUUUGCCAACAGUUGCACCAGCUCUACCACAAAUGUGAUAAAUAUCUCUGUUUAAUAACGUAUUUUUGUGUCAGAAAAAAAUAUUUUAACAUUUUAAUUGUAAUAUUUUUCAUUAAACUUUUUCUUUGUAAUGUAACUCAGUGACAGUGAUUUAUUAACACACUUUUGCUAGAGAACGAAACAGCAGUUCUGUGAAACAUUACUGACUUGUGAAUCAUAUUCUAAAUGAUUCUCUGAAAUUAAAUAACUCUUAGCCUGAGUAGCUCUAUAUCAAUCUAUGCAA
Long non-coding RNA from Megalobrama amblycephala (Wuchang bream), 723 nucleotides. RefSeq lists it as uncharacterized. NCBI's taxonomy places the organism in Eukaryota, Metazoa, Chordata, Actinopteri, Cypriniformes, Xenocyprididae. The transcript has 3 exons. The record is from RefSeq and is a predicted model, not a curated record.